UCCCUGGUGUGAUUCCGUCCUGCGCGGCUGUUUUCUGGAGCAGCGUUGUUUUAUCUCCGUCCGUCUUCUCUCCUACCUAAGUGCGUGCCGCCACCCGAUGGAAGAUUCGAUGGACAUGGACAUGAGCCCCCUGAGGCCCCAGAACUAUCUUUUCGGUUGUGAACUAAAGGCCGACAAAGAUUAUCACUUUAAGGUGGAUAAUGAUGAAAAUGAGCACCAGUUAUCUUUAAGAACGGUACUUAAACUUUCAAAAUAAACUACUUAACCC
RNAcentral lists this small RNA (268 nucleotides) under Pan troglodytes (chimpanzee). RNAcentral describes it as "retained intron". The record is from RNAcentral. Lineage: Eukaryota; Metazoa; Chordata; Mammalia; Primates; Hominidae.